CUGGGUUGGAACCCUCCAGAAGUCCGCAGAGAUGUGGAUGUGCCCGCAAGGGAAUUGGAUGUCCAGGUGCUGCAUGGCUGUCGUCAGCUCGUGUCGUGAGAUGUUGGGUUAAGUCCCGCAACGAGCGCAACCCUUGUCGUUAGUUGCCAGCGGUUCGGCCGGGCACUCUAACGAGACUGCCGGUGUUAAACCGGAGGAAGGUGGGGAUGACGUCAAGUCCUCAUGGCCCUUAUGCCCAGGGCUACACACGUGCUACAAUGACCGGUACAAAGGGUUGCAAACCCGCGAGGGCAAGCCAAUCCCAAAAAACCGGCCUCAGUUCAGAUUGAAGUCUGCAACUCGACUUCAUGAAGUCGGAAUCGCUAGUAAUCCCUGAUCAGCAGGCAGGGGUGAAUACGUUCCC
Molecule: ribosomal RNA, 403 nt
Filed under: uncultured bacterium
Lineage: Bacteria
Description: bacterial SSU rRNA
Rfam family: Bacterial small subunit ribosomal RNA
Source: RNAcentral